Molecule: ribosomal RNA, 253 nt
Filed under: uncultured bacterium
Lineage: Bacteria
Description: partial 16S ribosomal RNA
Rfam family: Bacterial small subunit ribosomal RNA
Source: RNAcentral
UACGUAGGGUGCAAGCGUUGUCCGGAAUUAUUGGGCGUAAAGAGCUCGUAGGCGGUCUGUCGCGUCGGCUGUGAAAUCCCGAGGCUCAACCUCGGGUCUGCAGUCGAUACGGGCAAACUAGAGUAUUGCAGGGGAGACUGGAAUUCCUGGUGUAGCGGUGAAAUGCGCAGAUAUCAGGAGGAACACCGGUGGCGAAGGCGGGUCUCUGGCCCGAUACUGACGCUGAGGUGCGAAAGCGUGGGGAGCAAACAGG